RNAcentral lists this ribosomal RNA (261 nucleotides) under uncultured bacterium. RNAcentral's name for it is "partial 16S ribosomal RNA". It matches the Rfam family "Bacterial small subunit ribosomal RNA", at positions 793 to 1055 of the family's 1533-position model. The record is from RNAcentral.
GUCCACGCCCUAAACGAUGGGUACUAGACGUCGGGAAGUUUAUCUUCUUGGUGUCGCAGCUAACGCAAUAAGUACCCCGCCUGGGGAGUACGGUCGCAAGAUUAAAACUCAAAGGAAUUGACGGGGCCCGCACAAGCGGUGGAGCAUGUGGUUUAAUUCGAUGCAACGCGAAAACCUUACCUGCCCUUGACAUCUGUGGAACUCUGCAGAGAUGUGGAGGUGCCUUCGGGAGCCACAAGACAGGUGCUGCAUGGCUGUCGU